This 374-nucleotide ribosomal RNA is filed under the name uncultured organism. Its description in RNAcentral is "partial 16S ribosomal RNA". It matches the Rfam family "Bacterial small subunit ribosomal RNA", at positions 527 to 896 of the family's 1533-position model. The record is from RNAcentral.
GUAGGUGGCAAGCGUUGUCCGGAAUUAUUGGGCGUAAAGCGCGCGCAGGCGGUUCUUUAAGUCUGAUGUGAAAGCCCACGGCUCAACCGUGGAGGGUCACUGGAAACUGGAGAACUUGAGUACAGAAGAGGAAAGCGGAAUUCCACGUGUAGCGGUGAAAUGCGUAGAGAUGUGGAGGAACACCAGUGGCGAAGGCGGCUUUCUGGUCUGUAACUGACGCUGAGGCGCGAAAGCGUGGGGAGCAAACAGGGAUUAGAUACCCUGGUAGUCCACGCCGUAAACGAUGAGUGCUAAGUGUUAGGGGGGUUUCCGCCCCCUUAGUGCUGCAGCUAACGCAUUAAGCACUCCGCCUGGGGAGUACGGCCGCAAGGCUG